Non-coding RNA from Cinara cedri, 241 nucleotides. NCBI's taxonomy places the organism in Eukaryota, Metazoa, Arthropoda, Insecta, Hemiptera, Aphididae. The record is from the annotation of a GenBank genome assembly.
GAUUUUCGAAAAUCUGACUAUUCCAAACGAAAGAGCAUACUUAUUUCUAUAUAAUGGCAUAUUCUUUAGAGAUUUUUUCUAAAUAGUUAAAAUUUUAUGAGGAAUAUAGACAAAAUUUUAGUAUCGUUCGUUAGCGAAUUUUCACGGUUUUUUCAAUACUAAAUUGAAAAAAAGUGAUACUUCUAAGCCGAAUUUCGAACAUCGGUCUAUUCCAAACGAAAGAGCAUACUUUUUUCAAUAU